GGCGACAAGAAGGCCGCCGCCUGCCCCUCCUCCCGCUAGCACAGGGUCGGGACCGGCGAGCUCUGCCCGAGCGGGGCAGCUUGGCCUGCGCUUCCCGAGGUGCGCCUGCCCAGGCGCGGCUCAAUCGCGGCGGCUGCGCGGGUCCCGACACCGAGCAUGCCCAGAGCCACCAGCGCGCGGUCGGCUCCCGCGUCCUCAGCGGCCGGCUGGAGCCAGAGGCCUGGGGCAGUCGGAGGAGCCCGGGCUCGGGCGUUGGGGGCGCAGGCCUCCCGCUGGUGAGGGCGGCUCCCGAGGGUGCCCUGUGCCCACCCUCCAACACUCGCGCCUCCUGCGCGCGCUCCUGGCCUCCUUGCGGCGCUAGCCACCCAGCCCGAGCCUCCUGGCGCCGCCUAGUCCACGCGGAAGUCCCCGAGUGACCUGGGGGAGGCCCUCCCUCCCCACGCACGCAGAUUCACGAGCCCGCGCGGAGCACGAGUGACGCGUGCUCGCCGGCCCGGCACCGGCGUCCCCUCCAUCCUCCUCCCGCUUCCUGUCCCCGCGCCGCCCAGCUCCUGGCCUCGCAGCCACGUCCCCUCCUGAGCCCAGGCUGCGGUGAAACCUGUUGCUGUGGCUCACGUUUCUAUCCCCUCCCGCGGCCGCUGAAAUGGCUCAGCGAGGCGUGCCUGUGGGAAGCCAGGGGUAAGUGUUAGAAGGGUAAGUGGCUUGGUGGUGGGGGCCGCGGUGGGUUUGGGGGCAUCCAGAGACUCUCCUCCCACCUCCUGGCAAGAAGACCCGAAGGAAGGGCGAGGCUGUGUCCUGUGAGGUGCGCCUACAACAUUUGAUGGCUUUGCUUCCUUCAAUUUCUCUGGAACCCAAGAAACCUGUGCUGGAUUUUUCAGAUAUGCAAGGGUGGUCUCAGGUUGGCAGCUCUUUUUAGGAGGGAGCGUUCUUGGAGUGAAAGGUACCAGCAGUUGGAAAACUUAGCUGUUCACAGAAUGCCUUUUAAGGGCUAAGAAUUUCCUGUGAAGGAACCCGUCCGCCUGCAAGAACUGGAAACUAGGAAAUGCCCUCCUCCCUGUGGUGAUAAUGAAAAAGAGCACUUAGCCCUACCACAGAUUGGGAAAGUCAGCCCCUGGACUUCCAGAUUCAGGCUGUUACUAAUUAUUCCAGUGAAUUCUGUCCAGGCCUGGCAUAGUGCAGAUGGGGGACAGGGGAUGCCUGGGAUUCUUUUGCAGGGAGAGGCUGCCACCCUUACCAUUCUUCUGUGCCCUUCUGGGGACUGUAUAUAGCAGGACUGCUUCCACUUAGGUAGUCCUGAGCCCUGAGCCUGAAAAUUCAAGCUGAGCUUGUAGCUUGUCUAGAAGGAACAGUGGUAUGAAUAACAGGAAAAGGGGCUCUCUGGUCUGACCAGCUCUUCUGUAAAAAGCAGCUGAUUGUAACUUAAAAUAUACUUUAUGCCAACAUCUGUAAACAACCUGCCUUUAUAAUCCAAAUAUGGUUUGAUUUCAGGGUUGCUGCAGAGCCCCAGCUGCCUACUUGGGUGUGGAGGUGGCCCUGAGAAUGUUUAAAGAGCUAGGAACGAGAGAACUGCUCUUCCGUGCCCCUUAUGACCUCACAAGGCUUAGGUCAGGAAAAGUGUCUGCUCUGUGGCAGGACACAGGGAGACCAGUAAGCAUUGGUGGACUGGGGUGACAGGGAGAUUCCAUUUUUAUGCCUUAGGCCUCCCCAUCUCCCACCCACUCUCCCUCCUGGGCACCUGCUUACUCCCCUGCCAUCCAGAUGGUCCAUGUUGUGUUCAGGAAAUGCAAAAUAAGGCCUAAGAAAAACAUUUGGCAAGGUAAAUUCACUGCCAAAAAUGCAUGGUAUUUCAAAGCCAAAUAUAAAUGUCUUUGAAUUAUCUGUAUUUUCACAUUAUUAUUUGACCAGAUAUUCCAGAUCAGAUGGGAAAGUACCCAGCUUCCCUUUCCUCUUCUCUUCAUGCAAGGUGCUUGGCUAGACUACUUUCCAUUCUGUUUCCAGCUUUCCAUCUCCUGCCAAGAACCCACCCACUUGGGAACUGGAAGCCCUGCUAGCUCCUAGGCCCACUACAGUCUACAGCUCUGUCCAGCAGGAUGGAGAGAUGAUUUGCAAAGUGAUUGAAAGGAACAUUUUCUCAAGUUAAAAGUUGAACGUCAUAGGUGCCAGUCAAGUGGGAGUCACCCCAGAGCCCUCUAGUUCCUGAACCUUCCCCAUCCAUCACCAGGUACAGGGUCCCUCUUGAAUAUCCAUUAGCCCCUGCCCAUUCUCAUGCAGCCAGAGUGGCCUUUCUAACAAUGCAAAUCUGCUUUCUUCUCUCCCUUGCUCCAUUAAAACCCCACAGGGCUCCUUCAGGGAACUGAUGCCCACCACUGCCUCCAACUUCCUUUGGCAAAUUUUAACUCAGCUAAAAAGUCUCAAUGUAAAUGUCACUUCCUAUUGGGCAGCUCCUCUGAUUCCUGCCACCCCCUGGGUGAUUGCUGGUCCAGUCCACUAGACUCAGGCUAU
RNAcentral lists this long non-coding RNA (2502 nucleotides) under Marmota monax (woodchuck). Lineage: Eukaryota; Metazoa; Chordata; Mammalia; Rodentia; Sciuridae. The record is from RNAcentral.